GGAAGGGAUAAGCGCUGAAAGCAUCUAAGUGCGAAGCCCACCUCAAGGUGAGAUUUCCCAUGAUUUUAUAUCAGUAAGAGCCCUGAGAGAUGAUCAGGUAGAUAGGUUAGGAGUGUAAUUGUGGUGACACAUUUAGCGGACUAAUACUAAUAGCUCGAGGACUUAUCCAAAA
RNAcentral lists this ribosomal RNA (172 nucleotides) under Streptococcus agalactiae GB00002. Its description in RNAcentral is "partial 23S ribosomal RNA". It matches the Rfam family "Bacterial large subunit ribosomal RNA", at positions 2757 to 2925 of the family's 2925-position model. Lineage: Bacteria; Bacillati; Bacillota; Bacilli; Lactobacillales; Streptococcaceae. The record is from RNAcentral.